UAACACCAGCCCCUCGAGUGGUGGGGAUGAUUAUUGGGCCUAAAGCGUCCGUAGCCUGCCGAAUAAGUCUUCCGUUAAAUCCAGCGUCUCAAGCGUUGGACUGCGGGAAAUACUGUACGGCUAGAGAGUGGGAGAGGUCAGCGGUAUUCUGGGGGUAGGGGCGAAAUCCUUUGAUCCCCGGAGGACCACCAGUGGCGAAGGCUGCUGUCUAGAACACGUCUGACGGUCAAGGACGAAAGCUGGGGUAGCGAACCGGAUUAGAUACCCGGGUAGUCCCAGCCGUAAACGAUGCAUGCUAGGUGUUGGGUUGGCCACGAGCCACCCCAGUGCCGCAGGGAAGCCGUUAAGCAUGCCGCCUGGGAAGUACGAUCGCAAGGUUG
RNAcentral lists this ribosomal RNA (380 nucleotides) under uncultured crenarchaeote. RNAcentral's name for it is "bacterial SSU rRNA". It matches the Rfam family "Archaeal small subunit ribosomal RNA", at positions 471 to 851 of the family's 1478-position model. Lineage: Archaea; Thermoproteati; Thermoproteota. The record is from RNAcentral.